Molecule: non-coding RNA, 402 nt
Organism: Cyanistes caeruleus (blue tit)
Lineage: Eukaryota; Metazoa; Chordata; Aves; Passeriformes; Paridae
Source: RefSeq, a predicted model, not a curated record
UGUGUGCCGUGCCCUGGCCCAGCUCUCUGCUGACCCUGCCCCUCCGCUGGCUCUGGCUCUGUGUGAGCGCCUCGGGGACAGCCUGGCCCGGCUCGGGCACUUCCAGCGCGCCGCCGACUUCUACCAGAGACAGCUGGCUCUGGCCGAGGCUCAGGGGGCUCCCGGGCGGGAUCUGGCCGUCAUCCACGUCUCGCUGGCCGCCACAUUCCGGGAUCUGGGCCAGCAUUCCCGGGCCCUGCAGCAUUUCCGGAGGGAGCUGGAGCUGCGCCGCGGGGAGCCCCUGGAGGAAUGCCGGACGUGGCUGAACGUGGCUCUGGCUCUGGAGGAUUUGGGAUCGGCUCCGGAUCAGAUCCUGCCCCCGCUCCGCAGCGCCCUGGGAUGCGCCGAGGCCGCCGGGGAUUC